GAUGAACGCUGGCGGCGUGCCUAAUACAUGCAAGUCGAACGCAUUGUGGUUGAAAUGAUAUGAAGAACUUGUUCAGAUUUGAUUUUCAACAUUGCAAUGAGUGGCGAACGGGUGAGUAACACGUGGGAAACCUACCUCUUAGCAGGGGAUAACAUUUGGAAACAAAUGCUAAUACCGUAUAAUAAUUAAAACCGCAUGGUUUUAGUUUAAAAGAUGGUCUUGCUAUCACUAAGAGAUGGUCCCGCGGUGUAUUAGUUAGUUGGUGAGGUAAUGGCUCACCAAGACAAUGAUACAUAGCCGAGUUGAGAGACUGACCGGCCACAAUGGGACUGAGACACGGCCCAUACUCCUACGGGAGGCAGCAGUAGGGAAUCUUCCACAAUGGACGAAAGUCUGAUGGAGCAACGCCGCGUGUGUGAUGAAAGGGUUUCGGGCUCGUAAAACACUGUUGUAAGAGAAGAAUGACAUUGA
RNAcentral lists this ribosomal RNA (471 nucleotides) under uncultured bacterium. RNAcentral describes it as "bacterial SSU rRNA". It matches the Rfam family "Bacterial small subunit ribosomal RNA", at positions 28 to 458 of the family's 1533-position model. The record is from RNAcentral.